UAAAAUUCAUGCCCCUUAUAUUCAAAUCAAAGAAAAAAUUGUUCAAGAUAUGUGCUGAAAUUUCAUAUACUUGAACGGCAAUCUAUUCUUCUUUCUCAAUUUAGUCAUGGUAUCAAGGUUCAACAUUUUACAAACAAGAAUUUGCAUAUUAUUGGUCAAAUGCUCAAGCUAAUAUGAGAAUCACUAGAGGAAACUAAUGUUUUUGUUGCAAAAUUAUUUCAGAGCAGCC
RNAcentral lists this long non-coding RNA (229 nucleotides) under Solanum tuberosum (potato). RNAcentral describes it as "long non-coding RNA (STUB_LNC005448)". The record is from RNAcentral. Lineage: Eukaryota; Viridiplantae; Streptophyta; Magnoliopsida; Solanales; Solanaceae.